This 435-nucleotide ribosomal RNA is filed under the name uncultured bacterium. RNAcentral describes it as "partial 16S ribosomal RNA". It matches the Rfam family "Bacterial small subunit ribosomal RNA", at positions 29 to 507 of the family's 1533-position model. The record is from RNAcentral.
AACGAACGCUGGCGGCAGGCUUAACACAUGCAAGUCGAACGCAUGCCUUCGGGCAUGAGUGGCAGACGGGUGAGUAACGCGUGGGAACCUACCCCUUGGUACGGGAUAGCUCCGGGAAACUGGAGAUAAUACCGUAUGUGUCCUGAGGGACAAAGAUUCAUCGCCAAGGGAUGGGCCCGCGUCGGAUUAGCUAGUUGGUGGGGUAACGGCCUACCAAGGCGACGAUCCGUAGCUGGUCUAAGAGGAUGAUCAGCCACAUUGGGACUGAGACACGGCCCAAACUCCUACGGGAGGCAGCAGUGGGGAAUAUUGGACCAUGGGCGCAAGCCUGAUCCAGCCAUGCCGCGUGAGUGAUGAAGGCCCUAGGGUUGUAAAGCUCUUUCACCGGUGACGAUAAUGACGGUAACCGGAGAAGAAGCCCCGGCUAACUUCGUG